AAUCAACGCUGGCGGCGUGCAUAACACAUGCAAGUCGGACGAGAAAGCGGGGGCAACCCUGCGAGUACAGUGGCAGACGGGUGAGUAACACGUGAACGACCUGCCCUUGAGUGGGGAAUAACCCCGCGAAAGCGGGGCUAAUACCGCAUAACAUCCACGAGCUUCAUGGUUUGUGGAUCAAAGGCGAAAGCUGCUCGAGGAGGGGUUCGCGGCUGAUUAGCUAGUUGGUGAGGUAACGGCCCACCAAGGCUACGAUCAGUAGCCGGCCUGAGAGGGCGUACGGCCACACUGGAACUGAGACACGGUCCAGACUCCUACGGGUGGCUG
This 327-nucleotide ribosomal RNA is filed under the name uncultured Acidobacteriota bacterium. RNAcentral describes it as "bacterial SSU rRNA". It matches the Rfam family "Bacterial small subunit ribosomal RNA", at positions 32 to 351 of the family's 1533-position model. Lineage: Bacteria; Pseudomonadati; Acidobacteriota. The record is from RNAcentral.